AUGGAACACUUUGAAAGUCCUGUGGAGAAAAACAAUGAAGUUCCUACUAGGAGCAAGAGACAGAGGACUGCAAAGUCCUUUGGUGAUGAUUUUCUUGUGUAUCUCAUAGAUGACACUCCCAGUUCUAUUUCGGAGGCCAAUGUAUCGGAAGAUGCUGACUACUGGAAGGAAGCGGUUCGUAGCGAGAUGGAUUCCAUCUUGGCGAAUGAAACUUGGGAGAUAACUGAUCGUCCUUAUGGGUGCAAACCUAUAGGAUGCAAAUGGGUAUUCAAGAAGAAGCUUAGGCCUGAUGGUACUAUUGAAAAGUACAAGGCUCGGCUCGUGGCAAAGGGUUAUACCCAAAAGGAAGGUGAAGACUUCUUUGAUACUUACUCACCUGUGGCUCGACUGACCACUAUUCGAGUUCUACUUUCACUAGCUGCCUCACAUGGUCUUCUCGUUCAUGAAAUGGAUGUUAAGACUGCUUUCCUGAAUGGAGAGUUGGAUGAGGAAAUUUAUAUGGAACAACCAGAUGGGUUUGUAAUAGAUGGUCAGGAAGGGAAAGUGUGCAAAUUGCUGAAGUCUUUGUACGGACUCAAGCAAGCACCCAAACAGUGGCAUGAGAAGUUCGAAAGAACUUUAACAGCUGCAGGCUUUGUUGUGAACGAAGCUGACAAAUGUGUGUACUAUCGCCAUGGUGGGGGCGAGGGAGUUAUGCUUUGCUUGUAUGUUGAUGACAUACUGAUUUUCGGAACAAAUCUGAAUGUUAUUAAGGAGGUCAAGGAUUUAGGAGUGGCUGAGGUCAUUCUGAACAUCAAGUUGUUGAGAGAUGAUGAUGGUGGGAUUACAUUGCUUCAGUCUCACUAUGUGGAAAAGAUCUUGAGUCGCUUUGGCUAUAGUGACUGCAAGCCCUCUCCAACACCAUAUGAUGCUAGCGUGCUGCUUCGAAAGAAUCAAAGAAUUGCUAGAGAUCAAUUGAAGUAUUCUCAGAUUAUUGGCUCGCUUAUGUACUUAGGCAGUGCUACAAGACCUGACAUCUCUUUUGCUGUUAGCAAGCUGAGCCGGUUUGUCUCAAAACCGGGAGAUGUGCAUAGGAAAGCUCUAGAGAGAGUUUUGCGUUAUUUGAAAGGCACUGUAAAUUAUGGAAUUCACUACACUGGGCAUCCAAAGGUGCGCCACGAGUGGAUAUGUGUUCACUCAUGGAGGUGGCGCUGUUUCUUGGAAGUCUUGCAAGCAGACCAUCUUAACGAGGUCAACUAUGGAAGCAGAACUCACAGCACUAGAUACAGCUACGGUUGA
RNAcentral lists this ribosomal RNA (1278 nucleotides) under Triticum aestivum (bread wheat). RNAcentral's name for it is "partial small subunit ribosomal RNA". Lineage: Eukaryota; Viridiplantae; Streptophyta; Magnoliopsida; Poales; Poaceae. The record is from RNAcentral.